Molecule: transfer RNA, 73 nt
Filed under: Camelus bactrianus (Bactrian camel)
Lineage: Eukaryota; Metazoa; Chordata; Mammalia; Artiodactyla; Camelidae
Also listed under: 2 other names
Rfam family: tRNA
About the family: Transfer RNA (tRNA) molecules are approximately 80 nucleotides in length. Their secondary structure includes four short double-helical elements and three loops (D, anti-codon, and T loops).
Source: Rfam by way of RNAcentral
GAGGGUAUAGCUCAGUGGUAGAGCACAUGCUUAGCAUGCUCGAGGUCCUGGGUUCAAUUCCCCAGUAUCUCCA